GACGAACCGUGCGAACGUUGUUCGGAAUCACUGGGCUUAAAGGGCGCGUAGGCGGGUUCGCAAGUCAGGGGUGAAAUCUUUCAGCUUAACUGGAAAACAGCCCCUGAUACUGCGAGUCUCGAGGGAGGUAGGGGCAUGUGGAACUUCCGGUGGAGCGGUGAAAUGCGUAGAUAUCGUAAGGAAGACCAGUGGCGAAGGCGGGUCUCUGGACAGUUCCUGACGCUGAGGCACGAAGGUCAGGGGAGCAAACGGG
This 253-nucleotide ribosomal RNA is filed under the name uncultured bacterium. Its description in RNAcentral is "partial 16S ribosomal RNA". It matches the Rfam family "Bacterial small subunit ribosomal RNA", at positions 524 to 776 of the family's 1533-position model. The record is from RNAcentral.